RNAcentral lists this ribosomal RNA (497 nucleotides) under uncultured bacterium. Its description in RNAcentral is "partial 16S ribosomal RNA". It matches the Rfam family "Bacterial small subunit ribosomal RNA", at positions 28 to 507 of the family's 1533-position model. The record is from RNAcentral.
GAUGAACGCUGGCGGCGUGCCUAAUACAUGCAAGUCGAGCGAACGGACGAGAAGCUUGCUUCUCUGAUGUUAGCGGCGGACGGGUGAGUAACACGUGGAUAACCUACCUAUAAGACUGGGAUAACUUCGGGAAACCGGAGCUAAUACCGGAUAAUAUUUUGAACCGCAUGGUUCAAAAGUGAAAGACGGUCUUGCUGUCACUUAUAGAUGGAUCCGCGCUGCAUUAGCUAGUUGGUAAGGUAACGGCUUACCAAGGCAACGAUGCAUAGCCGACCUGAGAGGGUGAUCGGCCACACUGGAACUUAGACACGGUCCAGACUCCUACGGGAGGCAGCAGUAGGGGAUCUUCCGCAAUGGGCGAAAGCCUGACGGAGCAACGCCGCGUGAGUGAUGAAGGUCUUCGGAUCUUAAAACUCUGUUAGUAGGGAAGAACAUAUGUGUAAGUAACUGUGCACAUCUUGACGGUACCUAAUCAGAAAGCCACGGCUAACUACGUG